This is an RNA transcript of Camelina sativa (false flax), 1274 nucleotides long. It is a transcript of the gene named psbP domain-containing protein 6, chloroplastic, with no coding region annotated. The record is from RefSeq and is a predicted model, not a curated record. Lineage: Eukaryota; Viridiplantae; Streptophyta; Magnoliopsida; Brassicales; Brassicaceae.
ACAUUCAUCAAAAGCUUUCUCAACCUCUCAAAACAAUAAAAAAAAAAAAAACCAAACUUUAGCUUUUUAAUUCCCGUCCGACAAGAAUGGCGACCGCGACUUUAGUUCCGACAUCUAAAAUCUUCUCUUCCUCUACCAAAUGUCCAGCUUUGAAUAAAGCAAGGACCUGCGUAAGCGUUGCAUCGUCGCAACAACAACAACUACCAAGAAGGAGAGAGCUGCUGCUGAAAUCGGCUGUGGCUAUUCCUGCGAUUCUGCAGUUGAAGGAAGCUCCAAUAUCGGAGGCGCGUGAGGUGGAUGUCGGAUCGUUCUUACCUCCGUCUCCGUCUGAUCCUAACUUCGUCCUCUUCAAAGCCAAACCUUCUGAUACUCCUGCUCUCCGCGCAGGAAACGUUCAGCCCUAUCAAUUUGUUCUACCGCCGAAUUGGAAACAAUUGCGUAUAGCCAACAUUUUGUCAGGUAAUUACUGCCAACCGAAAUGCGCAGAGCCAUGGAUCGAAGUGAAGUUUGAGAACGAGAAGCAAGGCAAAGUUCAAGUUGUGGCAUCUCCUUUGAUCCGUUUAACCAACAAACCAAAUGCAACCAUUGAAGAUCUCGGUGAGCCAGAGAAAGUGAUUGCUUCUCUUGGUCCUUUUGUCACCGGAAACUCUUAUGACUCUGAUGAACUUUUGAACACUUCAAUCGAAAAGAUUGGAGAUCAAACGUACUAUAAGUACGUUUUGGAGACGCCAUUUGCGCUCACGGGAAGUCACAAUCUUGCAAAAGCGACAGCAAAGGGAAACACGGUGGUUUUGUUUGUUGUGAGUGCUACUGAAAAGCAAUGGCAGAGCUCACAGAAGACUCUUCAAGCCAUUCUUGAUUCUUUUCAACUGUAAAUCCUGAGUUAUUGUUGAGACUCUGGACUCAAUAAACCAAAGAGCAAACGAUGAAGUCAAGUGGUCACGAGAUGAGGGACUUGAGGUUGUGAAAGGUCGCAUGAGUAUGUUACAUACUUCACACCAUCCACAAGCAAGACUAUAAAAACUUGGAACAGUGGAUUUGUUCCUCCCAUCAUCCCAUCACCGCCUUCUCUGGGAUCAACAAGCACAGAUACAACCAUUGAUGGGGAAGGCUGGGUGUCCCGGAAGUUCUCGUUGCUUGAGCUGUUAUGAUCUUUGGUUAGAUCAAAAUCAGACACCGGAAGACCACCACGGAGGAUUCUUCUGUUCUUUUUCCCCUUGCGUGUAUCAGUGGUGUUCUCAGACUGUUGAAUAGGUGGAGAAGCAGGAAUGAUG